This 253-nucleotide ribosomal RNA is filed under the name uncultured bacterium. RNAcentral's name for it is "partial 16S ribosomal RNA". It matches the Rfam family "Bacterial small subunit ribosomal RNA", at positions 524 to 776 of the family's 1533-position model. The record is from RNAcentral.
UACAGAGGUCUCAAGCGUUGUUCGGAUUCAUUGGGCGUAAAGGGUGUGUAGGCUGCUUGGCAAGUCGGAUGUGAAAGCCCUGGGCUCAACCCAGGAAGUGCAUUCGAAACUGCCGAGCUGGAGUCCUGGAGAGGAAGGCGGAAUUCUCGGUGUAGAGGUGAAAUUCGUAGAUAUCGAGAGGAACACCGGUGGCGAAGGCGGCCUUCUGGACAGUGACUGACGCUGAGACGCGAAAGCGUGGGGAGCAAACAGG